This 433-nucleotide ribosomal RNA is filed under the name uncultured bacterium. Its description in RNAcentral is "partial 16S ribosomal RNA". It matches the Rfam family "Bacterial small subunit ribosomal RNA", at positions 29 to 507 of the family's 1533-position model. The record is from RNAcentral.
AACGAACGCUGGCGGCAUGCCUAACACAUGCCAGUCGAACGAGACCUUCGGGUCUAGUGGCGCACGGGUGCGUAACGCGCGGGAACCUGCCCUUAGGUUCGGAAUAACUCCCCGAAAGGGGUGCUAAUACCGGAUAAUGUCUUCGGACCAAAGAUUUAUCGCCUUUGGAUGGGCCCGCGUUGGAUUAGCUAGUUGGUAGGGUAAAAGCCUACCAAGGCGACGAUCCAUAGCUGGUCUGAGAGGAUGAUCAGCCGCACUGGGACUGAGACACGGCCCAGACUCCUACGGGAGGCAGCAGUGGGGAAUAUUGGACAAUGGGCGAAAGCCUGAUCCAGCAAUGCCGCGUGAGUGAUGAAGGCCUUAGGGUUGUAAAGCUCUUUUACCCGGGAUGAUAAUGACAGUACCGGGAGAAUAAGCUCCGGCUAACUCCGUG